Molecule: long non-coding RNA, 336 nt
Filed under: Manihot esculenta (cassava)
Lineage: Eukaryota; Viridiplantae; Streptophyta; Magnoliopsida; Malpighiales; Euphorbiaceae
Description: long non-coding RNA (MESC_LNC005545)
Source: RNAcentral
CCUGAUGACUUGAGCACCUUUGGGAGGUCGGAGUUUAGCUUUUUCAUUUAUGGUCCCGUGCCCCAAUCUUUUAUGUGAGAUCAGAACUAUGUUCUUUAUGAGUUGUUUUUGCUUGUUGCACCGGAUGAUCUUGGGGAUUCUAGCUAUUUUUGCUCCGGGAGGUCUUUGAGAUCUUUGCCGGUCUUCUACCUCAGUGAGGUCUUCUGCCUCAUUGAGGUCUUCUGCCUCAGUGAGGUUUUCUGCCUCUUUGAGGUCUUCUGCCUCUUUUAGGUCUUCUGCCUCUUUGAGGUCUUCUGCCUCAUUGAGGUCUUCUGCCUCUUUGAGGUCUUCUGCCUC